Non-coding RNA from Pelobates cultripes (western spadefoot toad), 326 nucleotides. The record is from the annotation of a GenBank genome assembly. NCBI's taxonomy places the organism in Eukaryota, Metazoa, Chordata, Amphibia, Anura, Pelobatidae.
ACACACACACACAUACACAGUCAGACACACACACACACAUACACAGUCAGACACAAACACACACACACAGUCAGACACACAGUCAGACACAAACACACACAGACACACACAGUCACAUACACACACACACACACAGUCAGACACAUACACAGACACAAACACAGUCAGACACAAACACACACACACACAGUCAGACACAUACACAGACACAAACACAGACACAAACACACACUCACAAACACACACAGUCAGACACAAACACACACACACAUUAACUUUUUUUUUUAUUUAAAUCCCCCCCCAACCUCCUUACCUUUGGGAGUGCU